Molecule: ribosomal RNA, 440 nt
Filed under: uncultured bacterium
Lineage: Bacteria
Description: partial 16S ribosomal RNA
Rfam family: Bacterial small subunit ribosomal RNA
Source: RNAcentral
CCUACGGGCGGCAGCAGUAGGGAAUAUUGCUCAAUGGGGGCAACCCUGAAGCAGCAACGCCGCGUGGAGGAUGAAGGUUUUCGGAUUGUAAACUCCUUUUGUUAGAGAAGAUAAUUACGGUAUCUAACGAGUAUGCACCGGCUAACUCCGUGCUAGCAGCCGCAGUAAUACGGCAGGUGCAACCGUUACUCGGAAUCACUGGGCGUAAGGAGCGCGUAGGCGGGAUAGCAAGUCAGAUGUGAAAUCCUAUGGCUUAACCAUAGAACUGCAUUGGAAACUGUGAGGCUAGAGUAUGGGAGAGGUAGGGGGAAUUCUUGGUGUAGGGGUAAAAUCCGUAGAGAUCAAGAGGAAUACUCAUUGCGAAGGCGACCUGCUAGAACAUAACUGACGCUGAGGCGCGAAAGCGUGGGGAGCAAACAGGAUUAGAUACCCGUGUAGUC